ACUCCUGCGGGAGGCAGCAGUGGGGAAUAUUGCACAAUGGGCGCAAGCCUGAUGCAGCCAUGCCGCGUGUAUGAAGAAGGCCUUCGGGUUGUAAAGUACUUUCAGCGGGGAGGAAGGCGAUAAGGUUAAUAACCUUGUUGAUUGACGUUACCCGCAGAAGAAGCACCGGCUAACUCCGUGCCAGCAGCCGCGGUAAUACGGAGGGUGCAAGCGUUAAUCGGAAUUACUGGGCGUAAAGCGCACGCAGGCGGUCUGUCAAGUCGGAUGUGAAAUCCCCGGGCUCAACCUGGGAACUGCAUUCGAAACUGGCAGGCUAGAGUCUUGUAGAGGGGGGUAGAAUUCCAGGUGUAGCGGUGAAAUGCGUAGAGAUCUGGAGGAAUACCGGUGGCGAAGGCGGCCCCCUGGACAAAGACUGACGCUCAGGUGCGAAAGCGUGGGGAGCAAACAGGAUUAGAUACCCGGGUAGUCCCAUGA
Molecule: ribosomal RNA, 474 nt
Filed under: uncultured organism
Description: partial 16S ribosomal RNA
Rfam family: Bacterial small subunit ribosomal RNA
Source: RNAcentral